This 534-nucleotide ribosomal RNA is filed under the name uncultured bacterium. RNAcentral's name for it is "bacterial SSU rRNA". It matches the Rfam family "Bacterial small subunit ribosomal RNA", at positions 92 to 630 of the family's 1533-position model. The record is from RNAcentral.
CGCGUGGCGAAAGGGCGCGUAACACGUGGAUAACCUUCCUUCAGGUGGGGAAUAACCUCGCGAAAGCGAGGCUAAUACCGCAUAACAUGACGAUGGCUCAUGCUGUUGUCUUCAAAGCCGCAAGGCGCCAGAUGAGGGAUCCGCGGCCGAUUAGCUUGUUGGCGAGGUAAUGGCUCACCAAGGCAAUGAUCGGUAGCCGGUCUGAGAGGACGAUCGGCCACACUGGAACUGAGACACGGUCCAGACUCCUACGGGAGGCAGCAGUGGGGAAUCUUGCGCAAUGGACGAAAGUCUGACGCAGCAACGCCGCGUGGGGGAUGAAGCUUCUCGGAGUGUAAACCCCUUUCGACCCGGACGAAUGCCCGCAGGGGUAUGACGGUACGGGUAUAAGAAGCCCCGGCUAACUACGUGCCAGCAGCCGCGGUAAAACGUAGGGGGCCAGCGUUGCUCGGAAUUACUGGGCGUAAAGGGUCCGUAGGCGGUGUGGCAAGUCGGAAGUGAAAUCUCUGGGCUUAACCCAGAGGCUGCUUCCGA